GUAACCUGCCUUAUAGUGGGGGAUAGCCUUUCGAAAGGAAGAUUAAUACCGCAUAAGAUUGUAGUAUCGCAUGAUAUAGCAAUUAAAGGAGCAAUUCGCUAUAAGAUGGACCCGCGUCGCAUUAGCUAGUUGGUGAGGUAAUGGCUCACCAAGGCGACGAUGCGUAGCCGACCUGAGAGGGUGAUCGGCCACAUUGGGACUGAGACACGGCCCAGACUCCUACGGGAGGCAGCAUG
Molecule: ribosomal RNA, 236 nt
Filed under: uncultured bacterium
Lineage: Bacteria
Description: partial 16S ribosomal RNA
Rfam family: Bacterial small subunit ribosomal RNA
Source: RNAcentral